AUGUCAUUCUUUUUCAGAUUGACCCAGCCAGUCAGCAGGGGCUGCACAGAGUGGUGCUGUGAGGAAAAGAUGGAGGAGAGAUUUCUUCACACAACAAUUUCCACAAUUACUGUCUGCUUUUGCAGAGAAAAUGGACAUGGAUAUAAGGCAAAAGUAAUCAGUGAUUUUCCUUUUGAACAUCUAGCACCUGGAGCCACAGCAUUACCAUAUUAUCUCAUUGUAAAAUAAAUAAGAGAGAAGAUAAGGAAAGCCAAGGUAAUCACAGAUAAGAACUUUCAGAGAAAAGUAAGAAUAACUCGUUCUUUGAUGCCUCAGUAUUUUAUACAUUUUUGUAGUCGUCGUUUGUUAAUUGUACAGAUUCUUAUUUUGGUUAUCUGGACACCAGUUUCUAAACAACUGUACUUAGCAGGACUGUAAUCUUUUCUUCAAAAGAAAAACAAAAUAGAUAUCACUUCCAGAAUAUUGGAAAAAAGAUCCCUGUCUCUUGUUUAUUUAUUUAUUUAGAAAGCACAUACAGCAAUGCAUGGGGAGGGGAAGAGAGAUGCAAACCAGGUGAGCAUACAAAUCCAUCUCAAAAGAUAAUAAUGAGACACUUCCCAGAUGAUUAGUAGCAGUACAUCAGUCUAUGUGAGCAUUUAAACUGUUGUACCUCUAGAUUAAAAAAAGAAACCACAGAGAAUUUCUGAAGAACAAGGUAAAUGUCUGUAUUUCAGAAAUCCCACCACAAUCAACUUGUAGGCAGCAAAGUUUUUGUUCUGUUUUUCUUCCUGAUAUUUCUUCCCAGGAGCCUCUCCUGCUCACGCUAUGGUUUCUUUCCUCAGUGUCCUUCUCUGGUGGCAAGUAAGGAUACUUGUGAAUGAAGACUUUGCCUUAGUUCUUGACCUUUUCUUUAACUUCUUCUGAUGCUUGAGUGAAAUGCCAAGCUCCUCCAUUAUAGCAUUGAAAGAAAGACACUGUUGGGACACAAAAAUUGCAUUAGACACUCUUCACUGAAGACAGAGUUCGGCCAUACCCUCUGACCAAAUCAUGGCUCUUAUAAAAAAAGGAUCUCAGCACUUAAAAGCUGGAUCAGGAAGCUUCUCUAGUGACUUCUGUCAGCUUUGAGCAAGUCCCUAAUUUCUAACAGGUGAAGUUUGUAAUCACUUUUUUUUUUGUUUUGUUUUUUUGCCUAACUUGGCUUCCACUGAAAACAAUUUUAUUUUGGGUUAAUUAAAGCUGGUAUUAAUAUUUCUUAAAUUCUACACAGAUAGGUAGAUUUGUGAUGUUCUGUUGGCUUCACAUAAUAAAACUUACUCUUUUUCAACA
RNAcentral lists this long non-coding RNA (1305 nucleotides) under Phasianus colchicus (ring-necked pheasant). RNAcentral describes it as "lncRNA (ENSPCLG00000021008.1)". Lineage: Eukaryota; Metazoa; Chordata; Aves; Galliformes; Phasianidae. The record is from RNAcentral.